This 465-nucleotide ribosomal RNA is filed under the name Vreelandella stevensii. RNAcentral describes it as "partial 16S ribosomal RNA". It matches the Rfam family "Bacterial small subunit ribosomal RNA", at positions 338 to 795 of the family's 1533-position model. Lineage: Bacteria; Pseudomonadati; Pseudomonadota; Gammaproteobacteria; Oceanospirillales; Halomonadaceae. The record is from RNAcentral.
CCUACGGGUGGCAGCAGUGGGGAAUAUUGGACAAUGGGGGCAACCCUGAUCCAGCCAUGCCGCGUGUGUGAAGAAGGCCCUCGGGUUGUAAAGCACUUUCAGUGAGGAAGAACGCCUGGUGGUUAAUACCCAUCAGGAAAGACAUCACUCACAGAAGAAGCACCGGCUAACUCCGUGCCAGCAGCCGCGGUAAUACGGAGGGUGCGAGCGUUAAUCGGAAUUACUGGGCGUAAAGCGCGCGUAGGUGACUUGAUAAGCCGGUUGUGAAAGCCCCGGGCUCAACCUGGGAACGGCAUCCGGAACUGUCAAGCUAGAGUGCAGGAGAGGAAGGUAGAAUUCCCGGUGUAGCGGUGAAAUGCGUAGAGAUCGGGAGGAAUACCAGUGGCGAAGGCGGCCUUCUGGACUGACACUGACACUGAGGUGCGAAAGCGUGGGUAGCAAACAGGAUUAGAUACCCCAGUAGUC